RNAcentral lists this ribosomal RNA (465 nucleotides) under uncultured Klebsiella sp. Its description in RNAcentral is "bacterial SSU rRNA". It matches the Rfam family "Bacterial small subunit ribosomal RNA", at positions 338 to 795 of the family's 1533-position model. Lineage: Bacteria; Pseudomonadati; Pseudomonadota; Gammaproteobacteria; Enterobacterales; Enterobacteriaceae. The record is from RNAcentral.
CCUACGGGGGGCUGCAGUGGGGAAUAUUGCACAAUGGGCGCAAGCUUGAUGCAACCAUGCCGCGUGUGUGAAGAAGGCCUUCGGGUUGUAAAGCACUUUCAGCGGGGAGGAAGGCGGUGAGGUUAAUAACCUCAUCGAUUGACGUUACCCGCAGAAGAAGCACCGGCUAACUCCGUGCCAGCAGCCGCGGUAAUACGGAGGGUGCAAGCGUUAAUCGGAAUUACUGGGCGUAAAGCGCACGCAGGCGGUCUGUCAAGUCGGAUGUGAGGUCCCCGGGCUCAACCUGGGAACUGCAUUCGAAACUGGCAGGCUAGAGUCUUGUAGAGGGGGGUAGAAUUCCAGGUGUAGCGGUGAAAUGCGUAGAGAUCUGGAGGAAUACCGGUGGCGAAGGCGGCCCCCUGGACAAAGACUGACGCUCAGGUGCGAAAGCGUGGGGAGCAAACAGGAUUAGAUACCCGAGUAGUC